Molecule: long non-coding RNA, 2835 nt
Filed under: Gallus gallus (chicken)
Lineage: Eukaryota; Metazoa; Chordata; Aves; Galliformes; Phasianidae
Source: RNAcentral
GGCAGAGCGGACACGGGGCUUUAUUGAACGCGGCACGGAACGGCGCGGCCCCAACGCGAGGCGCAGCGCCACGUCGGCAGCUGAGCGGCCCCAGGGCGGCGGCUGCGCGGAGCUACGAGCCGGUGGGGACGGUGUCUUCCUCCAUCUCCUCCUCGGCGUCCUCGGCCGAGCCUGCAAGAGAGCAGAACGCAGCCCGAUGAGCGCAUGCUGUGAGUUUGGUGCUUUGCAGCUGCACACGUGAUCCAGGCCUGGCUGUGAACGCUCUGACUGCCAGACAGCUCGCGUGCUGAACGCACAGCCUGAGGGAGGUGGUCCUCAGCCAUCCCAACCAUCAAAUCACAACCAUCUCACGUGGUUUUUCAACCUCUCCCAGCAUAACCUCCUUGCUGAGAUCACGGGAAGGACCAGGAAGCAAUUAAAAGAAAGGGAUUCUGUUUAGGAAAGAAAAGCAGAAGCACUGUGACCUGGCUUUCGUUCUCUGCCGGGGAUCUGGCCGGCCUGCAGCAAGCCUUUCAGCCUCUCCACUUCGGCCAAUGUUGAGGCAUUUGCUAUGGCAGUCUGAAAAACAGGCAAAGGAGCACGGUGAAUCUUCACGUGCAGCACGUCAGUCCAUUGAGAGUAAACAGAACCAGUUGGUUUUGAUUUGCAGUUAAGCUACGCUGAGCUUUUACACUCCCAAAGGUUCUACAAGUGAUAACGCACAAUCCUGUUCCCCCCAAUUAUACAAGCUGAUCUGUCCUGGGUGAGCUCUAGGCUCAAACCCAAAUUUCAGUUAAGUUUUCUGUAUGUCACAGUGUCAGAAAAGUUACAGAAAAAGCACCAAGAACAAAGAGAACACUGUUCUGUUCGUCUGAACAUCGCCAGGAAGAAGGAAACAUUCCUUCGGUUGGGAUUCACAAUUGUUCUCCUCCCCCUCUGUCUGAGUCCCGUUGUGCCACACUCACCUUAAUUGCCUCAACAUCACCCGGGGAGGGCCCGGCCUUCUUUUUGUCUGUUGGCAGACCAGCACCUGGAUUGAAGCUUCAGAGGAAAAAGCAAAGAGGUCUAAUAGGAUACUGUGACAGCCUAUACAUAAGCCUGCCUAAAAGGAAUGUCAGAAGUUUCUUUUGAGGUACCUGCUGCUGAUUGAAGGAAAGCAGACGUUUGUUGUCUCUGGAAAUGGAGGUCACAGACACAGCUGGAAAGAACUUCCUGAAAUAGUUACCCAGCUUCAGAGACCUGCAACCUCUCCUGCAGCUACAUAUGGACAUUUGUAUGCUUAUUGGGUAUUCAGUUCACUGAUUUACUUGUUCUAAAGCUAUCACAGACCUCAACCAUUUCCACUCACAAACCACAGUGAGAGCCCAUUUGCUAACAGUUUUAAAUGCUCACUAUUUACAGUCCCUGGCAAAACAGGUUUUUCAAUUUCCAAUAAUGCAGAGAGCAAAACCAAGCAAACAAUGGCCACCUCUUUACCUCUUUGCAGUAAUGUAACAAAGAGCAAAAAAAGGUUUCCUGUUUACUGAUAUAUCUCAAUCCACCCUGACCAAAUGUAUCCUCCACAAAGAUUUCUGAGAUGUGUUCACCACCAUCCAAAAAAUAGGGACGUCUCAGUUCAGUGCAUAAUGCUGCACACAAAGUGGUGUUUCUGAAGGAGAAUGCCAGUGGAAGUGUUUGUUUCAUCUUACGUUUUUGAUCUCCUGGCAAUAUCCUUUGCAAGCUGUGCACCCCGUUUGCCCUUGAACAUUUUCUCUGCCUCCUGUCGCUCCUACAGCGAUACCACACACACAAAGUUAAUUUAAGAACACGGCAUUUUGCAAAGCUGCUGUCUUUGCAAAGAAAGAUGCUUUGGCUCAUCUCCAGUGAACACUGGCACGAGGAGACCAGAUGUAAGAACAAGCACAGACACAUUGCCCAAACACUCGGACUCGAGGAAUAUCACUUUAGUGCUCUUAAAAGGAAUGACCCCACACUUCUACAGGGAAAGCAGAGGGCUCUGCUGUGAUCUCCUUCCUUCCUCUGGGUUUGUCUUACCACCAGUAACACUGGCCAGCCAGAAAAGAAUCAGACUAAACAAACAACGGCAGUAAAACAUCAUUAAAAAUCAUGAAGUAGAUUACAUCCUUAACAGUGUGAAACCAUCAAAGAGAAGCAUGAGUUUUAAAGCCUCGUAGGAUACACAGUUUCACUGCAAUUUACAACUGGGGCAAAAACCUUAUCGUUUUCACUACAGUUUCAGGAGAUAACAGGAGAAAAGGCCUCCAUCUGGUGUUCAAUCAGAAGGUGACAGACUUACUUUGAGUUUCACUUUCUGAAAAUCCAGCACUCUGACUUGGGGAACUUUGUAGAUAACAUAUAAUCUGUAAUGCUUCUUAUUUGUUACUGGAUUCCUUAAAAUGCUCAGGUAAGUCAAUGAUUUAAUACUUGAUAAUGGAUCCAGUUCACCCAGUUCAGAAAUGUUGUUGUUGGUAAGAACGAGCUCUGUGAGACUGGGCAGGGCUUGUUCAAGUCCUUCCCCAAUCCGACAAAUCCUAUUGUUAUUCAUCAGAAGAGUUUUCAGCCUUCUCAACAGAGGGAACCCAUCCAGUUUCCGGAUCUCAUUAUCUGAGAAAUCAAUCGCAUCAAACUGAUCCAACGUGGCCCCUAAGUUCUCAAUGACGGGGAUUUUAUACCCCCGCAGAUCGAGCUCGCGGUCUCGGACGGCGUUGGUGUAUUGAGCCGCCUGCUCGAUCAGCUCCGCCGUCAGCUUCACCAUCCCGCCGAGCCCGCCAGGCCGCGCCGCGCCGCCAACACGCCGCCGAGCCGCUCAGCCAGCCGAGCGCCGAGCAGCCGAGAGCGGCCGAUCUCUGCCGAGCG